Molecule: ribosomal RNA, 405 nt
Filed under: uncultured prokaryote
Description: bacterial SSU rRNA
Rfam family: Bacterial small subunit ribosomal RNA
Source: RNAcentral
UGGGGAAUAUUGCACAAUGGGGGAAACCCUGAUGCAGCAAUGCCGCGUGAGUGAUGACGGCCUUCGGGUUGUAAAGCUCUGUCUUCAGGGACGAUAAUGACGGUACCUGAGGAGGAAGCCACGGCUAACUACGUGCCAGCAGCCGCGGUAAUACGUAGGUGGCAAGCGUUGUCCGGAUUUACUGGGCGUAAAGGGAGCGUAGGCGGAUUUUUAAGUGAGAUGUGAAAUACCCGGGGCUCAACCCCGGAACUGCUUUCAAAACUGCAUCCCUUGAGUAUCGGAGAGGCAAGCGGAAUUCCUAGUGUAGCGGUGAAAUGCGUAGAUAUUAGGAGGAACACCAGUGGCGAAGGCGGCUUGCUGGACGACAACUGACGCUGAGGCGCGAAAGCGUGGGGAGCAAACAGG